AUUUUGUGGAAGAGGGAGGAUGUACUGUGAGCAAAUGCCCUCUGCCAGCUGAUCCUACAGAGACACGUGGUUGAACAGGUCCAGACUUGCAUGUAUUUAUGGACACGUCAUUGAGGCCAUGCUGGUUUGUUAGCAGAGCCCCCAUUUUUGUUUGGUUAAAAAAUCCAUCCUGAAAUUAUGGAUAAACAAGCAAACUGCAGAAUUACAUGGAUAACUUUUAUAGCGGAACCCCCAUUUUUGUUUGGUUAAAAAAUCCAUCCUGUAAUUAUGGAUAAACAAGCAAACUGCAGAAUUACAUGGAUAACUUUUAUAGCAGAACCCCCAUUUUUGUUUGGUUAAAAAAUCCAUCCUGAAAUUAUGGAUAAACAAGGAAACUGCAGAAUUAGUGGAUAAUUUUUGUAGCAAAACCCCCAUGUGUUUGGUUAAAAAGAUCCAUCCUGAAAUUCUGGAUAAACAAGGAAACUGCAGUAUUGGUGGAUAAGUUUUAUAGCAGAACCCCCAUGUGUUGUUUGGUUAAAAAAUCCAUCCUGAAAUUGUGGCUAAACAAGGAAACUGCAUUAUUAUCUGGAUAAUUUUUAUAGCAGGCAAUGGGGCACAUUUCAAAGCCUCUUGCAAGGAGGUUUAAAUACUUUUAAAAAGUCACAGAUUAUUGUAAAUUGUCAAUUUUUUACACUUUUAGAGAGGUGGGGUUUUUAGAAACAAAGUAUAAAACCCCCCAGACCAGACAACCUCUCUUGAGUGUUCAGAAGUAAAGAGAAUUAUCCAUGAAAUGUCAUAAAAUCUUCAUGUUAUAAUAAGGAAAACAGCAGCUAAUUAGGAAAGAGCAUUUAAAUGAUUUGGCACUUUUGUCUGGAAAAGGAUUUCUGUAAAAUUUAUUAGGAUGAGACGAAUCUUUAGCAGAUCAUAUGUUCAAGAUUUAUUUCUUUCAAAGAAAAUAAGCACAUAAAUGCUUAACAUAUCAAACUGAUUUAAAUUUGGAUCAUUAAUUGAUGGCAGUAGAUGUCUUUGUCUCAAAAUUAGGAUCUC
RNAcentral lists this long non-coding RNA (1026 nucleotides) under Junco hyemalis (dark-eyed junco). RNAcentral's name for it is "lncRNA (ENSJHYG00000007045.1)". Lineage: Eukaryota; Metazoa; Chordata; Aves; Passeriformes; Passerellidae. The record is from RNAcentral.